RNAcentral lists this ribosomal RNA (253 nucleotides) under uncultured bacterium. RNAcentral's name for it is "partial 16S ribosomal RNA". It matches the Rfam family "Bacterial small subunit ribosomal RNA", at positions 524 to 776 of the family's 1533-position model. The record is from RNAcentral.
UACAGAGGUGGCAAGCGUUGUUCGGAAUUACUGGGCGUAAAGGGCGCGUAGGCGGCUUGGUCAGUCCCGUGUGAAAUCCCUCGGCUCAACUGAGGAACUGCACGGGAAACUGCCUGGCUUGAGUUCGGGAGAGGGAAGCGGAAUUCCGGGUGUAGCGGUGAAAUGCGUAGGUAUCUGGAGGCAUACCGGUGGCGAAGGCGGCAUCCUGGACCGGCAUUGACGCUGAGGAGCGAAAGCUAGGGGAGCAAACGGG